GUUCACUUGUUGAUUAUUUACUCAAAAUAAUCAACAUUUAAAGAUGAAUGGUAAUGGUGAUGAUUGUUUAAUUGUUUCUCCUUAUAUUGUUAUAAGAUGUAGAAUAGAAUAAUUUGAAUAAUAUUCUUAUUCUUGUGAUCAGAUACUUGAUAUAUUAAUUGUUACUAUUGUUGGAUAUUACAAAUCACUACUGGUGAUGGAGACUGAAUCGAAUCCGAUGAAAUUUUCUUAGUUGAGUAAAUUGUCACGCGAUUUUUUUCUGGCCUAAUCAGCGAGAUAAACGUUUAACUUACACCGAAAAGUAACCAAGAAGCGAAACGAUGUAAAGAUUAGAAAAGAGGAAAGAGCAACAAUCAAUUCUUUGGUUAAACCUUGAUCUUGAAUCUAACAGGAUUUCCUGACCCAUGGAAACAGAGGAAAUUGAAUUUUACAUAUUAAUUAAUUCCCUGGAACCCUUUCACUGAUGAUUAAGUUUUUGCUGAUCCUGAAGAUAAUUUAUCUGCAAUUAACUUACUGGGAUAAUUUUUUCCAUAAUUCCAACAAUGUAUUCCAAUAAUUAGUUGGAAAUUAAUUAUAAUUAAUGGUUGUGAAAUUUUAAUUCGUUGAUUGUUAUCUUUAGAUUUCAUUUGAUCAUUAGUUGAAUUUUAAAUGGAAUCGAACAAAUUUCUCCUUGGAAACUUCAUCAUUUUUUAGGUUAAUUAGGCCUAACACUCGGAUAUCAAAAUUUAAAUAACUAAUUGUCCAUCUUGAUAAUAAGUUAAACGGAUUUCUUACAAUUAAGUGAUUAUCAGAAAAAAAGUGAUUAUUGAUGCAUUGAAAUUUGAAUAAUUUAAUUAUUAUCAUAUUCCUAUUGUAAGUUAUUAUUAUUAAUCCAUUCUUGUAGUGGUAAUAACAAUUAAGAGUAUUAAUUGUUAAUCGUUUACAUUUAACCAACUGUAGUUUUUGUCCCUGACCUCAUACAAUCUCAAUAAAUUAGGCGAUAAUCUUUUGAUAAUGUUAAUCAUUUUGGAUCAUGAUGAACCAGAUAAACGUGACAAUCCAGUAAACCUUUUCAAUCGGAUUUAAUUGCAGCACUUUCCAUCAACCUCAGGUCAUAAAGUAAACCCGUUGAGGUGAUAACCUGUCACUUGAUAACUAAUACAUAUCUCUUGAAUUGCUAUUCAACUUUAAUUCAUAUUUAGUGAAAAACAAUUAAAACCAUUUUUGUUGAAAACAAAAGUAAUUGCAAUUACUUUUAUUCCUGUUAAUUGUACUUUGGCAAUGACAUUGAAACGAGUGGAUUGAACAUAUCAUCAUGAAAAAAAAAAUCAACAAAGAUUUAGAUCAUGUGCCACCAGAUCGAUCAAAACUAAUUCACAAUCAAAUUGGAAAGAAAAGUUUAUUUGAUAUUGACAACACUUAAUUGUCUUUAAUUAUCUUCACUUAUUAGAAGAUAAAAAGUUGUUUCAUGAUUAAAAGUGAUCGGCCAAGAAA
Long non-coding RNA from Panonychus citri (citrus red mite), 1473 nucleotides. RefSeq lists it as uncharacterized. Lineage: Eukaryota; Metazoa; Arthropoda; Arachnida; Trombidiformes; Tetranychidae. The transcript has 4 exons. The record is from RefSeq and is a predicted model, not a curated record.